GUCAAGCAUGCUGGUCUGUUCCUGUAGACCCAGCUACUCAGGAGGCUGAGGCAGGAGGAUCACUUGAGUCUAGGAGUUCUGGGCAAUCGUGCUCUGUGCUGAUUGGGUCUCCAUGUUAAAUUCUGAAUUAACAUGAUGACCUCCCACCUCCCAGGAGUAGGGGAGCACAGGUUGCCUAAAAAGGGGUGAACUGGCCCAGGUCAGAAAUGGAGCAGGUCAAAACUCCAGUGCUGAUCAGUAGUGGGACUGUGUCUGUGAGUAGCCACUGCACUCCAUCCUAGGCAACACAGUGAGACCCCAUCUCU
Unclassified non-coding RNA from Aotus nancymaae (Ma's night monkey), 305 nucleotides. It matches the Rfam family "Metazoan signal recognition particle RNA". From Rfam's summary of the family: The signal recognition particle (SRP) is a universally conserved ribonucleoprotein. It is involved in the co-translational targeting of proteins to membranes. The eukaryotic SRP consists of a 300-nucleotide 7S RNA and six proteins: SRPs 72, 68, 54, 19, 14, and 9. The record is from Ensembl. Lineage: Eukaryota; Metazoa; Chordata; Mammalia; Primates; Aotidae.